Molecule: long non-coding RNA, 348 nt
Organism: Eublepharis macularius
Lineage: Eukaryota; Metazoa; Chordata; Lepidosauria; Squamata; Eublepharidae
Exons: 3
Source: RefSeq, a predicted model, not a curated record
CUUCCUGCCAGAGCCCUCCCCCAACAGUGGAAAGGUUGCUGCAUGCUCCAGCCUCAAUUUCCCCAGUCUCUCUGUUCGGCCCUUUGCUGUCUGCUCUAAGCCUCCCCUUCUGCUCUUGCUCACCUGGACAAAGAAGGAGGUGGAAGAUCCAGGAAAUUCCAGCCGCUGAGCCCUGAGAUGGAGAGCCGGGCUGGGGAGUCCCAGCCAGAGAUCGGCACCCGGGCGGAAGGCUUCCUCCAGAGCCAGGCGGGGACGCUGAAGCGCAAAAGGCAGUUUCAUAGUCCAUUGAAAGAUGGAGAAGAGGCUCCGGCCGUGCCUUGGCAGAGAUUGUUCUUUGGGGUGAUCAAG